UAAGGAAUAUUGGACAAUGGAGGCAACUCUGAUCCAGCCAUGCCGCGUGAAGGAAUAAGGCCCUAUGGGUUGUAAACUUCUUUUAGACGGGACAAAACCCCUUUACGUGUAAAGGGUUGAUGGUACUGUCAGAAUAAGCAUCGGCUAACUUCGUGCCAGCAGCCGCGGUAAUACGAAGGAUGCAAGCGUUAUCCGGAAUUAUUGGGUUUAAAGGGUGCGUAGGCGGACUAAUAAGUCAGUGGUGAAAGCCUGCAGCUUAACUGCAGAAUUGCCAUUGAUACUGUUAGUCUUGAGUACAGUUGGGGUAGGCGGAAUGUGUCAUGUAGCGGUGAAAUGCUUAGAUAUGACACAGAACACCGAUUGCGAAGGCAGCGUGCUAAGCUGUAACUGACGCUGAGGCACGAAAGCGUGGGGAGCAAACA
This 422-nucleotide ribosomal RNA is filed under the name uncultured bacterium. Its description in RNAcentral is "bacterial SSU rRNA". It matches the Rfam family "Bacterial small subunit ribosomal RNA", at positions 355 to 774 of the family's 1533-position model. The record is from RNAcentral.